This 79-nucleotide ribosomal RNA is filed under the name Pseudoalteromonas porphyrae. RNAcentral's name for it is "partial 16S ribosomal RNA". It matches the Rfam family "Bacterial small subunit ribosomal RNA", at positions 1 to 77 of the family's 1533-position model. The record is from RNAcentral. Lineage: Bacteria; Pseudomonadati; Pseudomonadota; Gammaproteobacteria; Alteromonadales; Pseudoalteromonadaceae. RNAcentral also lists the same sequence under 2 other names.
UUUAAUUGAAGAGUUUGAUCAUGGCUCAGAUUGAACGCUGGCGGCAGGCCUAACACAUGCAAGUCGAGCGGUAACAGAG